AGUUCUACUAUUUUACCCUACGUUGUACUAUUAACCGCGUUGCGUGCCGUUUCCUUUUCGCUUCCUGAAAUCAUUGAACUAUUCUGUCGGCCACAUUGCACCAUUACAAUCACAGUUGUAGUCUUUUACCCUGCGUUGCACUAUUAAUCGCCGUGCGCGUCGUACUGUUAAUCCCUGUCGCAUUUAAUGCUAGCGGUAGGCACGAAGAGUGGCGUGUACGUUAUAUUCGGUUAAGUAAGGAGAAGAGGCACCGGCGGAUUUGUUAGCCGACGAUUCGUUUUGUUUAAAUAUCGGUUCUUCAGAUGCAU
This 308-nucleotide long non-coding RNA is filed under the name Ananas comosus (pineapple). RNAcentral's name for it is "long non-coding RNA (ACOM_LNC002171)". The record is from RNAcentral. Lineage: Eukaryota; Viridiplantae; Streptophyta; Magnoliopsida; Poales; Bromeliaceae.